Helianthus annuus (common sunflower) is the source of this 998-nucleotide long non-coding RNA. RefSeq lists it as uncharacterized. The record is from RefSeq and is a predicted model, not a curated record. The transcript has 3 exons. NCBI's taxonomy places the organism in Eukaryota, Viridiplantae, Streptophyta, Magnoliopsida, Asterales, Asteraceae.
ACGUAACUGGCCUCUCCACUUUUUUGAACAGCAAAUUAGGGUUUUAAUUGAAUAUUAAAACAAGAAACGUAAAACUAUUCACCCUUAUACAUCAUUCCAUCAGAGUCGAAGAACUGAACUUUCUGCAGAAGGGAUGAUUCUUGUUCUCAUGACUUAUUCAUAUAUCUUUUGCAUUAUCUAACAAUUGAUUAUAAUCCUCGUUCACUCCAAUAAGCUAAUUUCCAAUUGAGACCCUAGAACCCUAGUUGAAUGCAAUUUCGUUAUCUCCAUGAUUGAAUUAUUUUCUUUAAAAUAUCAAUUGAUGUGGAAUUAAUCAUCUACAUAGUAUUGGAAUAUCAGUUAUUUUAUAGUUCUGGUUUGAACGAUUAUUCAUGUGUAAUUGAGUUUAUUUAUUUAUUUAUUUAUUUAUUUUAUUUUAUUUUUUUUGAUCAAUAGAUGGUUAACAAAAGUUUGAUUUAUUUUCCAGUUGCUGCUGCGGGAUUGACGUUCUGUUUGUGCUUCUGCUUGAUAGGUUAAAUAUGAAGGUUUUCUUGAGGAGAAGUAUGGGAAAGAACGUAAUAAACAUCCAAAAUUUGACAAAGACUUGUGGUCACGAGCUGAGGGCAAGAAUAAAGGAAAAGUGUACGGGUUAGGCAAUGAUAGUGACCCGUGUGUACAUAGCAGAGAAGACCCCUGAGAUUGAAAAGUUGAACUUAGUUAUCAAGGGACUCGUUAAGGAAAAAGAUGAAGAAAAAGAAAGGUUCAAUGGAAUUAUUGCGGGGUUGUUGGCUGACAAAGAAAAAGAUAAGGUGGAUAAAGAUGCGUUGCUUGAUAGGAUGUCACAAAUUGAAGCUAUGUUAACAGCUACAGUUCGAAGAUAGGCUAUAAACACUUGGUUUUGAAUGUUUAGAUAUUUAUCUUAUUAGGAUAAUUUUAGUUAGUUUAUAUUUUAGUUGGAUUUUAUUAUAUGUUUUUGAAAACAAGAUGUUUUAUAUAAGUUUGGGAUUUUAUUAGACUUU